CCGCGAAUCGCCCUUCGGGGUGCAGCAGGCGCGAAAACUUUACAAUGCCGGCAACGGCGAUAAGGGGACCUCGAGUGCCAGGUUACAAAUCUGGCUGUCGAGAUGCCUAAAAAGCAUUUCAUAGCAAGGGCCGGGCAAGACCGGUGCCAGCCGCCGCGGUAACACCGGCGGCUCGAGUGGUAACCGUUAUUAUUGGGUCUAAAGGGUCUGUAGCCGGCCGGAUAAGUCUCUUGGGAAAUCCAGCAGCUCAACUGUUGGGCUUUCAGGAGAUACUGUCUGGCUCGAGGCCGGGAGAGGUGAGAGGUACUUCAGGGGUAGGGGUGAAAUCUUGUAAUCCUUGAAGGACCACCAGUGGCGAAGGCGUCUCACCAGAACGGACCUGACGGCAAGGGACGAAAGCUAGGGGCACGAACCGGAUUAGAUACCCGGGUAGUCCUAGCCGUAAACGAUACUCGCUAGGUGUCGGCCACGGUGCGACCGUUGUCGGUGCCGUAGGGAAGCCGUGAAGCGAGCCACCUGGGAAGUACGGCCGCAAGGCUGAAACUUAAAGGAAUUGGCGGGGGAGCAC
RNAcentral lists this ribosomal RNA (568 nucleotides) under uncultured archaeon. Its description in RNAcentral is "bacterial SSU rRNA". It matches the Rfam family "Archaeal small subunit ribosomal RNA", at positions 311 to 879 of the family's 1478-position model. The record is from RNAcentral.